CACGUAGGCACCAAGCGUUGUCCGGAUUUAUUGGGCGUAAAGAGCUCGUAGGCGGUUCAGUAAGUCGGGUGUGAAAACUUUGGGCUUAACCCAAAGCGUGCAUCCGAUACUGCUGUGACUUGAGUUCGGUAGGGGAGUGGGGAAUUCCUAGUGUAGCGGUGAAAUGCGCAGAUAUUAGGAAGAACACCCGUGGCUAAGGCGGCUCUCUAGUACGGUACUGACGCUGAGACGCGAAAGCGUGGGGAGCGAACAGG
Molecule: ribosomal RNA, 254 nt
Filed under: uncultured bacterium
Lineage: Bacteria
Description: partial 16S ribosomal RNA
Rfam family: Bacterial small subunit ribosomal RNA
Source: RNAcentral